This is a long non-coding RNA of Lemur catta (Ring-tailed lemur), 212 nucleotides long. RefSeq lists it as uncharacterized. The transcript has 2 exons. NCBI's taxonomy places the organism in Eukaryota, Metazoa, Chordata, Mammalia, Primates, Lemuridae. The record is from RefSeq and is a predicted model, not a curated record.
CUCCUGCCUCAGCCUCUUGAGCAGCUGGAACUACAGGUAUUAAUAACUUCAAAUCUGAGGCGUAGCUUGCAUGGAGAAUAAGUAUAAUACUCAUCUGGCAUUUUCCAGAAGGACAGGGGCUUCAUGCUGAAUGAGAAAUGUGAAUAACAAAGGAAUUAUAAAUGUAAAAACUUCCUUUUAAGCUCUUGCAAAUAAAAAAAUAAAAAUUCCUA